GAUGAAGAACGUAGCGAAAUGCGAUAAGUAAUGUGAAUUGCAGAAUUCAGUGAAUCAUCGAAUCUUUGAACGCACAUUGCGCCCCUUGGUAUUCCGAGGGGCAUGCCUGUUCGAGCGUCAUUAUAACCCCUCAAGCUCAGCUUGGUGUUGGGGCCUGCUGCACUGGCAGCCCUCAAAAUCAGUGGCGGCGCCAUCUGGCUCUAAGCGUAGUAAUUCUUCUCGCUAUGGAGUCCUGGUGGAUGCUUGCCAUCAACCCCCAAUUUUUCUAUGGUUGACCUCGGAUCAGGUAGGGAUACCCGCUGAACUUAAGCAUAUCAAUAAGCGGAGGA
This 329-nucleotide unclassified non-coding RNA is filed under the name soil metagenome. Its description in RNAcentral is "partial contains 5.8S ribosomal RNA, internal transcribed spacer 2, and large subunit ribosomal RNA". The stretch from base 1 to 120 matches the Rfam family "5.8S ribosomal RNA", at positions 35 to 154 of the family's 154-position model. The record is from RNAcentral.